AGUCGAGCUCAAUUAGGUAAAGCCUAAACUGACACUGCAUCAUUUCACAAUUUUACAUCCUCCAGAGUCGACUCCAAGAACUCUUCUCCAAAACUCAGUGCUUUCCAUUAAUUCCUGACUCUUCACAAGUUCACCUAAAUUUCUUUCCACUCAUUCCAACUCUUUUUCCACAUAAUCUAAUUCUCCUAUUUUAAUUUCAAAAAAAACAAUAAAAUUCCUUCAAUUAUUUGUCUCUCAGAUCUCAAAGCAUACCAUCUUAGUUGCACAGAUCCCAAAGCCUCAUUCCUUCUCAGCCGUGGGCAACAUUCUAGCUUCCACGUCACCUCCCAGCUUAACAAAA
RNAcentral lists this long non-coding RNA (340 nucleotides) under Phoenix dactylifera (date palm). Its description in RNAcentral is "long non-coding RNA (PDAC_LNC002007)". The record is from RNAcentral. Lineage: Eukaryota; Viridiplantae; Streptophyta; Magnoliopsida; Arecales; Arecaceae.